This 333-nucleotide ribosomal RNA is filed under the name Triticum aestivum (bread wheat). Its description in RNAcentral is "partial small subunit ribosomal RNA". The record is from RNAcentral. Lineage: Eukaryota; Viridiplantae; Streptophyta; Magnoliopsida; Poales; Poaceae.
AUGGUCGAGAGUUUUGUAGCGCCACAAAAUGUUAUUGAACUUCCAGACGAUGAUGACCAUGAGCAUGUGCCACAGAAGAAUGCAGGGAGAAGGGAUAGGACUUUGAGCAAGAAGGUGCCUGCCAGCAAAGUGUCUCACUCGACUUCAGUGCCAGAACCAGUCAUUCAGCAUUUCGGAGAUCCAGUUCGAACUUCUAUUUCUUUAUCUAAUCCUGUGUCGACUGAUCAAGCCCUUGCUCCGAUGUUGCAACUCCAUGCUUUAGAUCCCCUGGCUGCCUUGUCUGUUCCACCAACUCCGCUUUUCUCACCCAUCAUGUCCCAGAGGACCAGGUAG